Molecule: long non-coding RNA, 311 nt
Filed under: Elaeis guineensis (African oil palm)
Lineage: Eukaryota; Viridiplantae; Streptophyta; Magnoliopsida; Arecales; Arecaceae
Description: long non-coding RNA (EGUI_LNC035839)
Source: RNAcentral
UUUUCAUUAUUUCACUCUACCAUGGCCAUGGGCUUAAGGACUUGAUCUUUCGAUCAUCAUGGGACUACUCCUCUCAUCUAUCGAGGUUGAUAGAUCCCUUCUUGGUGCGAUUUGGUUCCUACAAUGAAUAUGCUACAACCAACAUACACCUCAGAGUUCUGAAUGGCUAGGAGACCGAGUAAUGGUGUGGUCAAACUAUAACACACUCAAGGUAAACUGUCAAUGCACCUCAGCAGCAACUCUUGCUCCGUUCCCGAUGCGUAGGAUCAUAUCCCCAUCCCUCAACUUCCUGCUCUCCUCAAGAUCCUGCA